AUUGAACUCUGGCGGCAGGCCUAACACAUGCAAGUCGAGAGGAGCGGCUGACGUGUGAGUAAUGCCUAGGAAUCUGCCUGGUAGUGUGGGAUAACGUCCGGCAACGGGCGCUAAUACCGCAUACUAUCAGAUGAGCCUAGGUCGGAUUAGCUAGUUGGGGGGGUAAAGGCCUACCAAGGCGACGAUCCGUAACUGGUCUGAGAGGAUGAUCAGUCACACUGGAACUGAGACACGGUCCAGACUCCUACGGGAGGAAGCAGUUGGGAAUAUUGGACAAUGGGCGAAAGCCUGAAUCAGCCAUGCCGAGUGUGUGAAGAAGGUCUUCGGAGUGUAAAGCACUUUAAGUUGGGAGGCGUUACCAACAGAAUAAGCACCGGCUAACUUCGUGCCAGCAGCCGCGGUAAUUC
RNAcentral lists this ribosomal RNA (407 nucleotides) under uncultured bacterium. RNAcentral's name for it is "partial 16S ribosomal RNA". It matches the Rfam family "Bacterial small subunit ribosomal RNA", at positions 30 to 526 of the family's 1533-position model. The record is from RNAcentral.